Molecule: ribosomal RNA, 514 nt
Filed under: Staphylococcus aureus
Lineage: Bacteria; Bacillati; Bacillota; Bacilli; Caryophanales; Staphylococcaceae
Description: partial 23S ribosomal RNA
Rfam family: Bacterial large subunit ribosomal RNA
Source: RNAcentral
GGGUUACCGAAUUCAGACAAACUCCGAAUGCCAAUUAAUUUAACUUGGGAGUCAGAACAUGGGUGAUAAGGUCCGUGUUCGAAAGGGAAACAGCCCAGACCACCAGCUAAGGUCCCAAAAUAUAUGUUAAGUGGAAAAGGAUGUGGCGUUGCCCAGACAACUAGGAUGUUGGCUUAGAAGCAGCCAUCAUUUAAAGAGUGCGUAAUAGCUCACUAGUCGAGUGACACUGCGCCGAAAAUGUACCGGGGCUAAACAUAUUACCGAAGCUGUGGAUUGUCCUUUGGACAAUGGUAGGAGAGCGUUCUAAGGGCGUUGAAGCAUGAUCGUAAGGACAUGUGGAGCGCUUAGAAGUGAGAAUGCCGGUGUGAGUAGCGAAAGACGGGUGAGAAUCCCGUCCACCGAUUGACUAAGGUUUCCAGAGGAAGGCUCGUCCGCUCUGGGUUAGUCGGGUCCUAAGCUGAGGCCGACAGGCGUAGGCGAUGGAUAACAGGUUGAUAUUCCUGUACCACCUAUA